Molecule: ribosomal RNA, 497 nt
Filed under: uncultured bacterium
Lineage: Bacteria
Description: partial 16S ribosomal RNA
Rfam family: Bacterial small subunit ribosomal RNA
Source: RNAcentral
GAUGAACGCCGGCGGCGUGCCUAAUACAUGCAAGUCGAGCGAACAGACGAGGAGCUUGCUCCUCUGACGUUAGCGGCGGACGGGUGAGUAACACGUGGAUAACCUACCUAUAAGACUGGGGUAACUUCGGGAAACCGGAGCUAAUACCGGAUAAUAUAUUGAACCGCAUGGUUCAAUAGUGAAAGACGGUUUUGCUGUCACUUAUAGAUGGAUCCGCGCCGCAUUAGCUAGUUGGUAAGGUAACGGCUUACCAAGGCAACGAUGCGUAGCCGACCUGAGAGGGUGAUCGGCCACACUGGAACUGAGACACGGUCCAGACUCCUACGGGAGGCAGCAGUAGGGAAUCUUCCGCAAUGGGCGAAAGCCUGACGGAGCAACGCCGCGUGAGUGAUGAAGGUCUUCGGAUCGUAAAACUCUGUUAUUAGGGAAGAACAAAUGUGUAAGUAACUAUGCACGUCUUGACGGUACCUAAUCAGAAAGCCACGGCUAACUACGUG